This 253-nucleotide unclassified non-coding RNA is filed under the name air metagenome. Its description in RNAcentral is "partial contains small subunit ribosomal RNA, internal transcribed spacer 1, and 5.8S ribosomal RNA". The stretch from base 1 to 46 matches the Rfam family "Eukaryotic small subunit ribosomal RNA", at positions 1786 to 1831 of the family's 1831-position model. The record is from RNAcentral.
AAGUCGUAACAAGGUUUCCGUAGGUGAACCUGCGGAAGGAUCAUUACUGAGUUAGGGUCUUCAUGGCCCGAAUCUCCAACCCUAUGUUUAAACACCUUUGUUGCUUUGGCAGGCCCGUCUUUCGGGACCGCCGGAGAUGAUUCCAUCUCUGGCCCGUUGCCUGCCAGUAGCCAAAUCAAAUUCUUUAUAAUUAUGUAGUCUGAAUCUUUAAUUAAAUAAAUUAAAACUUUCAACAACGGAUCUCUUGGUUCUG